GUGUGUUAUUUAUUUGAGGUACUCCUCGCUCUUUUGUUUGGGCUUCAACCCUGUGUUUUACGUGUUUGUUUGGUCUUCAUUCCAGCGCCUUUACACGGCACGCCAUAAUUUGGGGCUUAAUAAAACAACUAUUACGCAUUCCUGUGCCUGUCUCCCGAAUCUCUUUAUACCAACGUGACAGAAUAAUCGACCAUUGAGGGAGACCGUGGGACUGGUCCUUCCGGCGCCGCCGCAACUGGGUCGUCCGAUGUCACCACAACGGGUCUGUCCAACGACGCAACUUCAGCAGCCUCGAUUAUUCUGGCCCAGGUCUGAGCCCACAAGCCUGGGAGAAUCCAGCUCUUUCCAAGAUUACCCAACUGUGCCAGAGUGCAUCCAAGCACAAACAGCUUUAGUACUGACCCACAGAAGGAGAGAGAGCCUGGGAACCAGAACAGGGAUGGAUCUUUCUCUCUCUACCUUGCUGCUGCUGCCUGACACUGGGGCUUGGAGCCUUUCCCAUACCAUCCAACCUCAUCUGUUUAUUAUUUUCCUGUGUGGGCUUGUGUUGAGAGGGAGAGGUCAAGAUAGAUUUCAUAAACAAUACCCUGAGAGACUCAAGGUAUUGUGGGGGACUGGAUUUCUGUACAUACAGUGUUUAGUCUUUGAUUCCAACAGUCAUGCUGUAGGUUCUCAUAAAAGGAAAGUACAUUUGUCCAUGUUAAUUUUGAAGGCAAAAAUGAGUUGUUUGAUCUGCCCUGGCUGGUUCAGUGGGUUUUUGGCUUCAUGCGAGGUACAAAACGCAGGACUAACAGAUAUUAACCUCAGGAAACAAGAGACAGAACUGUCAGACAAAAGAAAAGGACAUAAAAGAGAACAUAUGUAACAGGAGAAGACACAUGAUAGCUGCUUACAUCACAUCCUGUGGCCAUACAUUAUCACAGUAUAGGCAGCGUUGUUUUGUGUACAUGUUCCUACAAAUAGUUUCAGGUGACAGGAAAUUGCCAUUAGUCAUCAGGUGUCAUACUUCCAAGGCAAGAUGAAUGAAAAAUGUCUGAACAAUAAAAGUGUAAUUAAUUUAUUUUACUU
Oncorhynchus tshawytscha (Chinook salmon) is the source of this 1068-nucleotide long non-coding RNA. RefSeq lists it as uncharacterized. The record is from RefSeq and is a predicted model, not a curated record. NCBI's taxonomy places the organism in Eukaryota, Metazoa, Chordata, Actinopteri, Salmoniformes, Salmonidae. The transcript is spliced from 3 exons.